Molecule: small nucleolar RNA, 57 nt
Filed under: Thermococcus kodakarensis KOD1
Lineage: Archaea; Methanobacteriati; Methanobacteriota; Thermococci; Thermococcales; Thermococcaceae
Description: Small nucleolar RNA sR53
Rfam family: Small nucleolar RNA sR53
Source: Rfam by way of RNAcentral
GCCGAUGAGGAGGGUGGGCACUCCCCGACCGGUGAGGCCUGGGGGGAGGAUCUGAGG